This 273-nucleotide ribosomal RNA is filed under the name uncultured bacterium. RNAcentral's name for it is "partial 16S ribosomal RNA". It matches the Rfam family "Bacterial small subunit ribosomal RNA", at positions 524 to 794 of the family's 1533-position model. The record is from RNAcentral.
UACGGAGGGUGCAAGCGUUAAUCGGAAUUACUGGGCGUAAAGCGCGCGUAGGUGGUUCGAUAAGCGGGAUGUGAAAGCCCCCGGGCUUAACCUGGGAACGGCAUUCCGAACUGUCGGGCUAGAGUAUGGUAGAGGGUAGUGGAAUUUCCUGUGUAGCGGGUGAAAUGCGUAGAUAUAGGAAGGAACACCAGUGGCGAAGGCGGCUACCUGGACCAAUACUGACACUGAGGUGCGAAAGCGUGGGGAGCAAACAGGAUUAGAUACCCCCGUAGU